This is a long non-coding RNA of Amphiprion ocellaris (clown anemonefish), 653 nucleotides long. The record is from Ensembl. Lineage: Eukaryota; Metazoa; Chordata; Actinopteri; Pomacentridae.
ACGUCACUUGUUGAUGCUCCAUUCAUGAGGGUAAUGCCAUCUGUUGGGAAAACAUCGUACAACAGGACACAGAGUUAUCGUGAUUUGAUCAAACUUAGACAGAGAUGUUCAGAGGGAGAUGAUGCCACAUCUGGUCCAGCUGAUGGAAGGUCUUGAAGUUCUCUGACUGGCCUCUGACUGAAGAUGGUCGUCUCACUGGAUUUAAAGUUCAGAUGCUCAGUAACAAACUCCACCAAUGAGCCAACAGGGAAGCUUUAGGUUUAUUAAAUGUUACUAUGAAGGUUUCGCUGUUUUUCUUUGUGAAUGCAAUGUGCUCCAACUGAAACUUGAAUUAGAACUUAGAAGUAAAUCCUUCCAUCUGAAAGAAUUAGUUGCAUUAAUAACCUCAUAACAUUCUAAUUUUUAUUCCAGUCUUGGUUGGAAAUAGAAUCUCUGUAGUGAUUCAGGUAAAAAACUGAACUUCACAGGCAUGUUGGAGCAAAACAACCAGAUGAAAACUGUGAUGGUGUUGGAUUGUCAGACCGUAAUGUUGCAGCUCAAAGCAGCUUUUCUAUCUCAGUUCAUUCUGACAUUCAGCUAUGAAUCAACACAGCAGAUGGUGAUCCAUGCUGUGGAAGUCUCACAUCUCCUGAUUUAAUGGAGCUGCUUUGCAC